This 433-nucleotide ribosomal RNA is filed under the name uncultured bacterium. Its description in RNAcentral is "partial 16S ribosomal RNA". It matches the Rfam family "Bacterial small subunit ribosomal RNA", at positions 29 to 507 of the family's 1533-position model. The record is from RNAcentral.
AACGAACGCUGGCGGCAUGCCUAACACAUGCAAGUCGAACGAGACCUUCGGGUCUAGUUGCGCACGGGUGCGUAACGCGUGGGAACCUGCCCUUAGGUUCGGAAUAACUCCCCGAAAGGGGUGCUAAUACCGGAUAAUUUCUUCGAACCAAAGAUUUAUCGCCUUUGGAUGGGCCCGCGUUGCAUUAGCUAGUUGGUAGGGUAAAAGCCUACCAAGGCUACGAUCCAUAGCUGGUCUGAGAGGAUGAUCAGCCACACUGGGACGGAGACACGGCCCGGACUCUUACGGGAGGCAGCCAUGGGGGAUAUUGGAAAAUGGGCGAAAGCCUGAUCCAGCAAGGCUUCGUGAGUGAUGAAGUCGGUAGAGUUGUAAAGCUCUUUUACCCGGGAUGAUAAUGACAGUACCGGAAGAAUAAGCACCGGCUAACUUCGUG